RNAcentral lists this long non-coding RNA (2258 nucleotides) under Homo sapiens (human). Its description in RNAcentral is "non-protein coding lnc-SMARCA2-6:1". Lineage: Eukaryota; Metazoa; Chordata; Mammalia; Primates; Hominidae. The record is from RNAcentral.
CUGACGCAGCAUCUUUCCUUUGGAGCCACAGUAAAAAUACAGUCUUCUGUCUGAUCCAUGGAAUGAAAACAACUCAAAGGCAAGAGGAAGUAUACACAGCUCAGGGCACACCCAGGGGCCUGGGCUCCCUGUUCUUCCCAGCUCAGGCACUAGUUUAGCUGCUUCACAAUGGGUUUGGCAGUUGAAGCACCAUGGCCAACAGGGUCCAGGGACAGGGAGAAACAGGACCGACAUAGUGAGAAACAGGACUGAGAUAGGGAGAAACAGAACCGGGACACUGAGGGGCAUGAGUAUCUGGAGCUGAUCUUAGAUGAGUCUCCCCCAACUCUCUUUUCGGACUCAGCCCGCCUGCACCCAGGUGAUUAAAAGCUUCAUUGCUCACACAAAGCCUGUUUGGUGGUCUCUUCACACGGACGCGAGUGAAGUUUCGUGCCGUGACUCGGAUCAGGGGACCUCCCUUGGGAGAUCAAUCCCCUGUCCUCCUGCUUUUUGCUCCAUGAGAAAGAUCCACCUACGACCUCGGGUCCUCAGACCGACCAGCCCAAGGAACAUCUCAGCAAUUUUAAAUCGGCCUUUUUGAUAUUUCAUUAACACACAUGAAAAUCCUUCUGAAUGAUGUUCCUGUGCUUUGUAAAAACGCAUCUAGCAUCCCACAGGUGAUAUAGACAGGAGACAGGGAGAUACUGAGUAGAAGAGGGUGGUUUCCUGGCAAGAACCCCACCCUCAAGCCUGAAGAACCUUGGCCCUAAAUGAGGACAGGCAUUCCUGUUUUUGCACUCAAGAAGUUGCCUUUCGGCCUGCUACGUUCCCUAUCCUGCACCCAUAUAAACCUCAAACCCCAGGCUCCAGGAGCAGACCAGCAGAUGAAGAGAAGCAGAGGGACGGCAGAAGGACACAGCAGGGAGACAGGAAGAGGAACGUUCAGCUGGGGGUGGUUGGAAAGGAGUUUGGCAGCUGGACAGCCCAACUCCAGGGGAAGAUCAUCUUCCCACUCCAUCCCCCACUUCCGCUUUCCCAUCCAUCCCGCCAAGAGCCACCUCCACCACUCGACGAAACCCUGCGUUGAUCCUUCAAGCCCGUGUGUGACCCGAUACUCCCGGGAUGCUGGAUAAGAACUCGGGAUACAGAAAGAUUUCACACUGGCCCUCUGACCUUGCAAAAAGGCAGAGGGUCCAUAGAGCUGGUUAACACUUAAAAUUUUAAAUUUAUUUAUUUGCAGCCAUACCCUGUGUUCUUUUGUUUUCCCUGGCUACUUCCCGCAUAGCCCAGAGGCAGGUGUUACAAUCCCAGUGGCCUGAUCCUCUUGUAAGAACACCACCAGCACACCAGGGCAUGACUGCCUAGGCUGCUGCCAGAUGGGGAGAUCUUGAAUGGAAAUAGUCACACAUUGAAAUGGUGCCAAGUAGCAGGCAGUCUUGCAAAACCAACAUGGCUUUGGAGACACAAUACCUCUGAUGAGUGAGAGGCGUGGUGGUAUUUGUGGAAACCCAGCUGUUGCAGACGGUGGCAUUAACUUGCCCAGCUUUGGCGACAGUUGUCUGAGUUUGGGAUCACUGAACCUUAAUAUAGAAUUUUUUCUGGCCCUAGUAUUAUCUGCGGGUAAACCGUAGCCUUGGGUCUCAGCUGCAGCUGUAUACAAUAUUUCUAAAGACAGACUUUUCCAGUUCGACUAGCGAGAAUGUAUUAAAUCACAUGGCCAUGUGUUCACUUCUAAACUGGAAAUUCAACUUUAGUUGGGAACUGGCCUAGCAGGAGAACAAAGGCCAUAUAAAAGUUUCAAGGAAGAGGAAAUUGUUCUCUUACAUGACUGUGGACCUACUAAAUGAAGCAAUAUUGCAAGAUUCAGCUAGGAGGUUGAGUGAAAACAGAAGCCUUGGGCUGCCUUCUGGCCACUUUGAACAAAGAGACAUAAAGCAUGUUUAGGAGGAAGGAGUGUGGAUUGAGCUUUGAUCUUCUGGACACUGUUAAACCCACUCUUACAUCCAAACAUAAGAAGGGCUGAUUAUCUGUUAACUUUCUCUAGUUUCCUUCCUCGUUCCAUCUUCUCAGUGGGAAAAUGAGUGGGUUUAUUCUCAACUCCCUUUCAGCCUCAUGACUUUACAAAUGAUUUAUUGGAUGCCUGUCCUUGUGCCCAGCCAUGUACCAGGAAGACUGAGUGAUAUAAAGGACUUCUAUUUUUGAGAAGUUGAACAAUGAAAUAUGCACUCACUGUACAGCACCAGUAAUAAAAGUGAGGGAGAGAGGGGGAGGCUCACUUA